RNAcentral lists this ribosomal RNA (506 nucleotides) under uncultured bacterium. RNAcentral describes it as "partial 16S ribosomal RNA". It matches the Rfam family "Bacterial small subunit ribosomal RNA", at positions 29 to 523 of the family's 1533-position model. The record is from RNAcentral.
AGUGAACGCUGGCGGUAGGCCUAACACAUGCAGGUCGAACGGCAGCACAGGAGAGCUUGCUCUCUGGGUGGCGAGUGGCGGACGGGUGAGGAAUACAUCGGAAUCUACUCUGUCGUGGGGGAUAACGUAGGGAAACUUACGCUAAUACCGCAUACGACCUACGGGUGAAAGCAGGGGACCUUCGGGCCUUGCGCGAUUGAAUGAGCCGAUGUCGGAUUAGCUAGUUGGCGGGGUAAAGGCCCACCAAGGCGACGAUCCGUAGCUGGUCUGAGAGGAUGAUCAGCCACAGUGGAACUGAGACACGGUCCAGACUCGUACGGGAGGCAGCAGUGGGGAAUUUUGGGCAAUGGGGGCAACCCGGAUCCAGCCAUGCCGCGUGAGUGAAGAAGGCCUUCGGGUUGUAAAGCUCUUUCGCGAAGGAAGAAAGCGCACUGGUUAAUACCUGGUGUGGAUGACGGUACCUUGAUAAGAAGCACCGGCUAACUACGUGCCAGCCGCCGCAGUAA